CCUACGGGAGGCAGCAGUGAGGAAUAUUGGUCAAUGGACGCAAGUCUGAACCAGCCAUGCCGCGUGCAGGAAGACGGCCCUAUGAGUUGUAAACUGCUUUUGUACGAGGGUAAACGCAGAUACGUGUAGCUGUCUGAAAGUAACGUACGAAUAAGGAACGGCUAAAUCCGUGCCAGGAGCCGAGGUAAAACGGAGGUUUUAAGCGUUAUCCGGAUUUAUUGGGUUUAAAGGGUGCGUAGGCGGUCGGAUAAGUUAGGUGUGAAAUCCCGGGGCUCAACCUCGGAAUUGCCUUUGAUACUGGUGGGCUAGAGUGGAGGUGAGGUAGGCGGAAUGUGUGGUGUAGCGGUGAAAUGCUUAGAUAUGACGAAGAACCCCGAUUGCGAAGGCAGCAUGCUGGAGCGGAACUGACGCUGAUGCUCGAAAGCGCGGGGAUCGAACAGGAUUAGAUACCCCUGUAGUC
RNAcentral lists this ribosomal RNA (460 nucleotides) under uncultured bacterium. RNAcentral describes it as "partial 16S ribosomal RNA". It matches the Rfam family "Bacterial small subunit ribosomal RNA", at positions 338 to 795 of the family's 1533-position model. The record is from RNAcentral.